GAAGCAAUUAAACUACCACCCGUAGAGCUAUAUAGGCAUGUUGAAGAUAUUUCUGGAGAUGAAUUGGUAAAAGCAUUACAAAUAAGAAACAAAAUACCUCGAAGAAAAGCUCUUGCUGCAUUAGAGGAGAAAGUAUUAACCAUUCUGACUGAAAAUGGGUAUGCGGUUAAGGAUCAAAUUCCAGGAACUACAGAAAACUUGUUGGAAGCAUGUGAGGAC
This 219-nucleotide unclassified non-coding RNA is filed under the name Hevea brasiliensis (rubber tree). Lineage: Eukaryota; Viridiplantae; Streptophyta; Magnoliopsida; Malpighiales; Euphorbiaceae. The record is from RNAcentral.